This 301-nucleotide ribosomal RNA is filed under the name uncultured bacterium. RNAcentral's name for it is "partial 16S ribosomal RNA". It matches the Rfam family "Bacterial small subunit ribosomal RNA", at positions 509 to 807 of the family's 1533-position model. The record is from RNAcentral.
CAGUCGCCGCGGGAAUACGAAGGGGGCUAGCGUUGUUCGGAAUCACUGGGCGUAAAGGGUGCGUAGGCGGAUUCUUAAGUCAGGGGUGAAAUCCCGAGGCUCAACCUCGGAACUGCCUUUGAUACUGGGGAUCUUGAGUCCGGAAGAGGUGAGUGGAACUGCGAGUGUAGAGGUGAAAUUCGUAGAUAUUCGCAAGAACACCGGUGGCGAAGGCGGCUCACUGGUCCGGAACUGACGCUGAGGCACGACAGCGUGGGGAGCAAACAGGAUUAGAUACCCCAGUAGUCCCUGUCUCUUAUAC